GAUGAACGCUGGCGGCGUGCCUAAUACAUGCAAGUCGAGCGAACAGACGAGGAGCUUGCUCCUCUGACGUUAGCGGCGAAUGGGUUUGUAACACGUGGAUAACCUACCUCUAAGACUGGGAUAACUUCGGGAAACCGGAGCUAAUACCGGAUAAUAUAUUGAACCGCAUGGUUCAAUAGUGAAAGACGGUUUUGCUGUCCCUUAUAGAUGGAUCCGCGCCGCAUUAGCUAGUUGGUAAGGUAACGGCUUACCAAGGCAACGAUGCGUAGCCGACCUGAGAGGGUGAUCGGCCACACUGGAACUGAGACACGGUCCAGACUCCUACGGGAGGCCGCAGUAGGGAAUCUUCCGCAAAGGGCGAAAGCCUGACGGAGCAACGCCGCGUGAGUGAUGAAGGUCUUCGGAUCGUAAAACUCUGUUAUUAGGGAAGAACAAAUGUGUAAGUAACUAUGCACGUCUUGACGGUACCUAAUCAGAAAGCCACGGCUAACUACGUG
This 497-nucleotide ribosomal RNA is filed under the name uncultured bacterium. RNAcentral's name for it is "partial 16S ribosomal RNA". It matches the Rfam family "Bacterial small subunit ribosomal RNA", at positions 28 to 507 of the family's 1533-position model. The record is from RNAcentral.